RNAcentral lists this ribosomal RNA (305 nucleotides) under uncultured bacterium. Its description in RNAcentral is "bacterial SSU rRNA". It matches the Rfam family "Bacterial small subunit ribosomal RNA", at positions 20 to 353 of the family's 1533-position model. The record is from RNAcentral.
UGGCUCAGAACGAACGCUGGCGGCAGGCUUAACACAUGCAAGUCGAACGCGUGUAGCAAUACACGAGUGGCGCACGGGUGAGUAACACGUGGAUUAUCUGCCUCUUGGUUCGGAAUAACCCCGGGAAACUGGGGCUAAUACCGAAUGGUUCCUACGGGAUAAAGAUUUAUCGCCAAGAGAUGAGUCCGCGUCCGAUUAGCUAGUUGGUGGGGUAAUGGCCUACCAAGGCGACGAGGGGAAGCUGGUCUGAGAGGACGAUCAGCCACACUGGGACUUUAUCUCGGCCCAGACGGAAACGGGAGGCA